RNAcentral lists this ribosomal RNA (198 nucleotides) under Pressatia choti. Its description in RNAcentral is "partial large subunit ribosomal RNA". Lineage: Eukaryota; Metazoa; Arthropoda; Insecta; Diptera; Psychodidae. The record is from RNAcentral.
UUAUAUAAUAAUAGUUUAAUAAAAAUUAGUUAAAUUUUAUUUUAAGUUAUUAAUAUAUUAUAUUGGGGUAAUAAUAAAAUUUAAAUAAUUUUUGUUUAAUUUAACAAUUAUAGUUGAUUAAUUGAUCCAGUAUUAUUGAUUAUAAAGUUAAGUUACCUUAGGGAUAACAGCAUAAUGAUUUUUGAGAGUUCGUAUUGA